GGAGAAGUUCUUAUGGUCAAAUC
Molecule: small nuclear RNA, 23 nt
Filed under: Arabidopsis thaliana (thale cress)
Lineage: Eukaryota; Viridiplantae; Streptophyta; Magnoliopsida; Brassicales; Brassicaceae
Description: snRNA_06837
Source: RNAcentral